RNAcentral lists this ribosomal RNA (1204 nucleotides) under uncultured organism. RNAcentral's name for it is "bacterial SSU rRNA". It matches the Rfam family "Bacterial small subunit ribosomal RNA", at positions 212 to 1401 of the family's 1533-position model. The record is from RNAcentral.
CUAUCGGCGUGGGAGCGGUCCAUAUCCUAUCAGCUAGUUGGCGGGGUAACGGCCCACCAAGGCAACGACGGGUAGCGGGACUGAGAGGUUGACCCGGCGCAUUGGGACUGAGACACUGCCCAGACUCCUACGGGAGGCUGCAGUAACGAAUAUUGGACAAUGAGCGAAAGCUUGAUCCAGCGACGCCGCGUGCAGGAAGAAGUCCUUCGGGAUGUAAACUGCUGUCAGGGACCACCAAGCAAGGAAGGUUAAUACCCUUCUGCGUUGAGGACUCCCAGAGGAAGCCACGGCUAACUUCGUGCCAGCAGCCGCGGUAAUACGAAGGUGGCGAGCGUUGUUCGGAAUCACAGGGCUUAAAGCGUGUGUAGGCGGACUGUCAAGCGUUUUGUGAAAGCCCUCGGCUUAACCGGGGAAUUGCUUGACGAACUGAUAGUCUUGAGGCAGGUAGGGGCAACUGGAACUCUUGGUGGAGCGGUGGAAUGCGUAGAUAUCAAGAGGAACGCCAGAGGCGAAGGCGAGUUGCUGGGCCUGUCCUGACGCUGAGACACGAAAGCCAGGGGAGCGAACGGGAUUAGAUACCCCGGUAGUCCUGGCCCUAAACGAUGUCCACUAGAUCGGAGGCGCUCUGACGUGUUUCUGGUCGAAAUGACAACGGUUAGUGGACCGGCUGGGGAGUACGUUCGCAAGGCUACAACUCAAGGGAAUUGACGGGGGCUCACACAAGCGGUGGAGCAUGUUGCUUAAUUCGAUGCAACGCGAAGAACCUUAUCCUAGGCUUGACAUAUACGAAUGCCUACUGGGAAACCAGGUCGGCUGCCCUUCGGGGUGAAACGUAUACAGGUGCUGCAUGGCUGUCGUCAGCUCGUGUCGUGAGAUGUUGGGUUAAGUCCCGUAACGAGCGAAACCCUUGUCGUUAGUUGCCAGCGCGUAAUGGCGGGGACUCUAACGAGACUGCCGGUGUUAAACCGGAGGAAGGUGGGGAUGACGUCAAGUCCUCAUGGCCUUUAUGCCUAGGGCUGCAAACGUGCUACAAUGGCCGGUACAAAACGAAGCGAGACCGCGAGGUGGAGCAAAUCGUAAAAAACCGGCCCCAGUUCGGAUUGGAGUCUGCAACUCGACUCCAUGAAGUUGGAAUCGCUAGUAAUCGCGUAUCAGCGUGACGCGGUGAAUGUGUUCCUGAGCAUUGUACACACCGCCCGUCAAG